GGGUUGUGAGGUUAAGCGACUAAGCGUACACGGUGGAUGCCCUGGCAGUCAGAGGCGAUGAAGGGCGUGCUAAUCUGCGAUAAGCGCCGGUAAGGUGAUAUGAACCGUUAUAACCGGCGAUACCCGAAUGGGGAAACCCAGUGUGACUCGUCACACUAUCAUUAACUGAAUCCAUAGGUUAAUGAGGCGAACCGGGGGAACUGAAACAUCUAAGUACCCCGAGGAAAAGAAAUCAACCGAGAUUCCCCCAGUAGCGGCGAGCGAACGGGGAGGAGCCCAGAGCCUGAAUCAGCAUGUGUGUUAGUGGAAGCGUCUGGAAAGGCGCGCGAUACAGGGUGACAGCCCCGUACACAAAAGCGCAUGUGCUGUGAGCUCGAUGAGUAGGGCGGGACACGUGGUAUCCUGUCUGAAUAUGGGGGGACCAUCCUCCAAGGCUAAAUACUCCUGACUGACCGAUAGUGAACCAGUACCGUGAGGGAAAGGCGAAAAGAACCCCGGCGAGGGGAGUGAAAAAGAACCUGAAACCGUGUACGUACAAGCAGUGGGAGCACAGGUUUACCUGUGUGACUGCGUACCUUUUGUAUAAUGGGUCAGCGACUUAUAUUCUGUAGCAAGGUUAACCGAAUAGGGGAGCCGGAGGGAAACCGAGUCUUAACCGGGCGUUAAGUUGCAGGGUAUAGACCCGAAACCCGGUGAUCUAGCCAUGGGCAGGUUGAAGGUUGGGUAACACUAACUGGAGGACCGAACCGACUAAUGUUGAAAAAUUAGCGGAUGACCUGUGGCUGGGGGUGAAAGGCCAAUCAAACCGGGAGAUAGCUGGUUCUCCCCGAAAGCUAUUUAGGUAGCGCCUCGUGAAUUCAUCUCCGGGGGUAGAGCACUGUUUCGGCUAGGGGGCCAUCCCGGCUUACCAACCCGAUGCAAACUGCGAAUACCGGAGAAUGUUAUCACGGGAGACACACGGCGGGUGCUAACGUCCGUCGUGAAGAGGGAAACAACCCAGACCGCCAGCUAAGGUCCCAAAGUCAUGGUUAAGUGGGAAACGAUGUGGGAAGGCCCAGACAGCCAGGAUGUUGGCUUAGAAGCAGCCAUCAUUUAAAGAAAGCGUAAUAGCUCACUGGUCGAGUCGGCCUGCGCGGAAGAUGUAACGGGGCUAAACCAUGCACCGAAGCUGCGGCAGCGACGCUGAUGCGUUGUUGGGUAGGGGAGCGUUCUGUAAGCCUGUGAAGGUGGCCUGUGAGGGUUGCUGGAGGUAUCAGAAGUGCGAAUGCUGACAUAAGUAACGAUAAAGCGGGUGAAAAGCCCGCUCGCCGGAAGACCAAGGGUUCCUGUCCAACGUUAAUCGGGGCAGGGUGAGUCGACCCCUAAGGCGAGGCCGAAAGGCGUAGUCGAUGGGAAACGGGUUAAUAUUCCCGUACUUGGUGUUACUGCGAAGGGGGGACGGAGAAGGCUAUGUUGGCCGGGCGACGGUUGUCCCGGUUUAAGCGUGUAGGCUGGUUUUCCAGGCAAAUCCGGAAAAUCAAGGCUGAGGCGUGAUGACGAGGCACUACGGUGCUGAAGCAACAAAUGCCCUGCUUCCAGGAAAAGCCUCUAAGCAUCAGGUAACAUCAAAUCGUACCCCAAACCGACACAGGUGGUCAGGUAGAGAAUACCAAGGCGCUUGAGAGAACUCGGGUGAAGGAACUAGGCAAAAUGGUGCCGUAACUUCGGGAGAAGGCACGCUGACACGUAGGUGAAGUGAUUUACUCAUGGAGCUGAAGUCAGUCGAAGAUACCAGCUGGCUGCAACUGUUUAUUAAAAACACAGCACUGUGCAAACACGAAAGUGGACGUAUACGGUGUGACGCCUGCCCGGUGCCGGAAGGUUAAUUGAUGGGGUCAGCGCAAGCGAAGCUCCUGAUCGAAGCCCCGGUAAACGGCGGCCGUAACUAUAACGGUCCUAAGGUAGCGAAAUUCCUUGUCGGGUAAGUUCCGACCUGCACGAAUGGCGUAAUGAUGGCCAGGCUGUCUCCACCCGAGACUCAGUGAAAUUGAACUCGCUGUGAAGAUGCAGUGUACCCGCGGCAAGACGGAAAGACCCCGUGAACCUUUACUAUAGCUUGACACUGAACAUUGAGCCUUGAUGUGUAGGAUAGGUGGGAGGCUUUGAAGUGUGGACGCCAGUCUGCAUGGAGCCGACCUUGAAAUACCACCCUUUAAUGUUUGAUGUUCUAACGUGGACCCGUAAUCCGGGUUGCGGACAGUGUCUGGUGGGUAGUUUGACUGGGGCGGUCUCCUCCUAAAGAGUAACGGAGGAGCACGAAGGUUGGCUAAUCCUGGUCGGACAUCAGGAGGUUAGUGCAAUGGCAUAAGCCAGCUUGACUGCGAGCGUGACGGCGCGAGCAGGUGCGAAAGCAGGUCAUAGUGAUCCGGUGGUUCUGAAUGGAAGGGCCAUCGCUCAACGGAUAAAAGGUACUCCGGGGAUAACAGGCUGAUACCGCCCAAGAGUUCAUAUCGACGGCGGUGUUUGGCACCUCGAUGUCGGCUCAUCACAUCCUGGGGCUGAAGUAGGUCCCAAGGGUAUGGCUGUUCGCCAUUUAAAGUGGUACGCGAGCUGGGUUUAGAACGUCGUGAGACAGUUCGGUCCCUAUCUGCCGUGGGCGCUGGAGAACUGAGGGGGGCUGCUCCUAGUACGAGAGGACCGGAGUGGACGCAUCACUGGUGUUCGGGUUGUCAUGCCAAUGGCACUGCCCGGUAGCUAAAUGCGGAAGAGAUAAGUGCUGAAAGCAUCUAAGCACGAAACUUGCCCCGAGAUGAGUUCUCCCUGAGACUUAGAGUCUCCUGAAGGAACGUUGAAGACGACGACGUUGAUAGGCCGGGUGUGUAAGCGCAGCGAUGCGUUGAGCUAACCGGUACUAAUGAACCGUGAGGCUUAACCUUACAACGCCGAAG
This 2927-nucleotide ribosomal RNA is filed under the name Salmonella enterica subsp. enterica serovar Albany. RNAcentral describes it as "23S ribosomal RNA". It matches the Rfam family "Bacterial large subunit ribosomal RNA". The record is from RNAcentral. Lineage: Bacteria; Pseudomonadati; Pseudomonadota; Gammaproteobacteria; Enterobacterales; Enterobacteriaceae.